GACACAAGGGUCAAAAAGUCAUGCAUUUCAUGCUUGCAUGAAAAAGCAUGACUUAUUGACCCGCAAAACACUGAAAAGUAGCCAUUUUUCGUAAAAAAAUGAGCGGAUUUGAGGUGUUUUAGGAUUGCGGGAGCAUGAAAUGCGAAGCAAUCCGUGU
Molecule: small RNA, 157 nt
Filed under: human gut metagenome
Description: Clostridiales-1 RNA
Rfam family: Clostridiales-1 RNA
Source: RNAcentral